Molecule: transfer-messenger RNA, 353 nt
Filed under: Candidatus Cloacimonadota bacterium
Lineage: Bacteria; Pseudomonadati; Candidatus Cloacimonadota
Also listed under: 1 other name
Rfam family: transfer-messenger RNA
About the family: Bacterial tmRNA, also known as 10Sa RNA or SsrA, is named for its dual tRNA and mRNA-like properties. Its role is to liberate the mRNA from a stalled ribosome. To accomplish this part of the tmRNA is used as a reading frame that ends in a translation stop signal.
Source: RNAcentral
GGGGGUGACUUGGUUUCGACAGGGAUGCAGGGGAUCUCUGAUGCAUGCCGGGAAGGUUACCUACCCGUUAAAAUUGGUGACAACCAAAUGUAAACGCAAACGAUAACUUCGCACUGGCUGCUUAAUCCGCAGUCACGUCCUCUCGAGUUCUGCUGCCAGGCAAAAGAUCGGACGUCAUACAUGGCAGAUAUAGAACGUAAAUACCUAUAAUACGCUCCGAAAACCAAUAGGCUGGCCUGAGGGCAUGGUUUGACUGUUUUCCGGCCUUGAGGCGACAUAAAAAACAGCUAAGCAUGUAGAUUCGGAUUUUGACUCAUCUUUGGACGCGGGUUCGACUCCCGCCACCUCCACCA